Molecule: ribosomal RNA, 467 nt
Filed under: uncultured bacterium
Lineage: Bacteria
Description: bacterial SSU rRNA
Rfam family: Bacterial small subunit ribosomal RNA
Source: RNAcentral
GCAAGUCGAGGGGCAGCAUAAAAGUAGCAUACUUGGUGGCGACCGGCGCACGGGUGAGUAACGCGUAUGCAACCUACCUAUCAGAGGGGAAUAACCCGGCGAAAGUCGGACUAAUACCGCAUAAAACAGGGGCACCGCAUGGUGAUAUUUGUUAAAGAAAUUCGCUGAUAGAUGGGCAUGCGUUCCAUUAGGUAGUUGGUGAGGUAACGGCUCACCAAGCCGACGAUGGAUAGGGGAACUGAGAGGUUGGUCCCCCACACUGGUACUGAGACACGGACCAGACUCCUACGGGAGGCAGCAGUGAGGAAUAUUGGUCAAUGGGCGAGAGCCUGAACCAGCCAAGUCGCGUGAAGGAAGAAGGAUCUAUGGUUCGUAAACUUCUUUUGCAGGGGAAUAAAGUGCAGGACGUGUCCUGUUUUGUAUGUACCCUGAGAAUAAGGAUCGGCUAACUCCGUGCCAGCCGCCGC